RNAcentral lists this ribosomal RNA (253 nucleotides) under uncultured prokaryote. RNAcentral's name for it is "partial 16S ribosomal RNA". It matches the Rfam family "Bacterial small subunit ribosomal RNA", at positions 524 to 776 of the family's 1533-position model. The record is from RNAcentral.
UACGUAGGGCGCAAGCGUUGUCCGGAAUUAUUGGGCGUAAAGAGCUCGUAGGUGGCUUGUCACGUCUGCCGUGAAAUCCUGUGGCUUAACUGCGGGUCUGCGGUGGAUACGGGCUGGCUAGAGGUAGGUAGGGGCAAGCGGAAUUCCUGGUGUAGCGGUGAAAUGCGCAGAUAUCAGGAGGAACACCGGUGGCGAAGGCGGCUUGCUGGGCCUUACCUGACGCUGAGGAGCGAAAGCGUGGGGAGCGAACAGG